Rhodobacter capsulatus SB 1003 is the source of this 74-nucleotide transfer RNA. It matches the Rfam family "tRNA". From Rfam's summary of the family: Transfer RNA (tRNA) molecules are approximately 80 nucleotides in length. Their secondary structure includes four short double-helical elements and three loops (D, anti-codon, and T loops). Further hydrogen bonds mediate the characteristic L-shaped molecular structure. tRNAs have two regions of fundamental functional importance: the anti-codon, which is responsible for specific mRNA codon recognition, and the 3' end, to which the tRNAs corresponding amino acid is attached (by aminoacyl-tRNA synthetases). tRNAs cope with the degeneracy of the genetic code in two manners: having more than one tRNA (with a specific anti-codon) for a particular amino acid; and 'wobble' base-pairing, i.e. permitting non-standard base-pairing at the 3rd anti-codon position. Lineage: Bacteria; Pseudomonadati; Pseudomonadota; Alphaproteobacteria; Rhodobacterales. The record is from Rfam.
CGGAGCGUAGCGCAGCCUGGUAGCGCACCUGCUUCGGGAGCAGGGGGUCGGAGGUUCGAAUCCUCUCGCUCCGA